Molecule: long non-coding RNA, 3470 nt
Organism: Bubalus bubalis (water buffalo)
Lineage: Eukaryota; Metazoa; Chordata; Mammalia; Artiodactyla; Bovidae
Exons: 3
Source: RefSeq, a predicted model, not a curated record
UGCGGAAGGGGCGUGUGGGCUGGAGGUCGCUGGCCCUUCUGCGAAUCGGUCGAGCAACGCUGGAGUGGGAAGCUGGGUCAACGGAGACCUAGAUACGGGGUUAGGCCGGGAGCGGUCACAGCUUCAUUCAUUGGGCAGCUACCAGGGCUUGCCACGCGCUGUGAGGCACUGUGUCGAAGCCCCUCCUUUCCUCCCCAGAGCUUAGCUCUGUCCGCUCCACACCAACCUCCAAGCGUAAAUAAAGUUCCCUCCCUUUGGCUCAGCCUUUUAAGGAGCCUUUGUGACCGCGGAGGGUGGUUUGCUCUGACACUAACCAAACUUCACCUUCUGGAGGGCCACUUGCCCAGGUCCCGUUUGUGGCCAUGGUAUGGAUCUUAGCAACGUGUCCACACGAUCAUGUUUUUAUAAAUUUAGCAAAACUGGCGGUAUCAGUAUUUUAAUCCACAUCUGUUAAGACAACUGCCUCUUUCCACUGGGACUUUCCGGUCUGGGAGCAUUGAAGUAGCCAGGGGCAACUUGGGGCGUUUUUAGGUAGGUCUUCUCUUGACUAGGGCUUGAUUGUGUCUAUUUGGGCUGCCUUUGGGUUCUGGGUUGUACAGAGUCCCGAUGAGAGACUCAGUAAAGAUAAAAGGGAAACAGUUGCGUUUCUGAAGUGCCUCCAAAUCUCGGAUGGUGGCAGCCUCCUCCCUCCACCCCUCCCAUCAAUGAAAGAAGGACGGAGUGUGGUGAAAGAGAACCAUCAGAAGAACUGCAGUCAUGGGUCCUCUCUCUGUGUCAGGCAAGGCUUUACUGUGAACCACUAAUGUGCCAGGUACCAUGUGUGGAGGCACUGGCCCAAAGAUGAAGAUGAGGUUUCUCUCCUUGAGAAGCGCAGUGUGGGAGACAGACAGUGUUUAAAUCCUAGAGUUUUGGCUACCCAUUUAAAAGAUAACUUUCCAUACUCACUUGCAUAUGGAUUUGCCCAUGUGACCAAGUUCUGAUCAGCAGGUUGUGAGCAAAGGACAGGCUUCCAUUUCCUCCUAUUUCCUUCUCAUCGGCUGAAAUCUUCUCGCUGGACUGGAGGAGUCAUCCUAGACCUUGAGAUGGAAGCCAUAUGCUGAGGAUGGCAAAGCAGGAAAACAGAAACUAGAUCCCCAUCAUCAUGAAGCAUCCAUUGCAGCCCCAGGCUGUUAAACUCAGACUAUAUGUGACAUGUUGAUAAAUUUCUGGUGCUUCCCUCGUGGCUCAGAUGGUCAAGCAUCUAUCUGCAAUGCUGGAGACCCAGGUUCCAUCCCUGGGUCAGGAAGAUCCCCUGGAGAAGGAAAUGGCAACCCACUCCAGUACUCUUGCGUGGAAAAUCCCAUGGACAGAGGAGCCUGGUAGGCUACAGUCCAUGGGGCCACAAAGAGUCAGACACGACUGGGUGACUUUACUUACUUACUGAUAAAUUUCUAACCUGUUUAAACUAUAUAUAUAUAGUCUUUAUCAUGAAAGUUACACCUGUAUUCUUAUUUACUGUUACAGACUGAAUGUUUGUGUCCCCUCAAAGUUCAUAUGGUGAAAUCCUAACCCCAAUGGUAUUAGAAGGCAGGGCCUUUGAGAGGUGAUUAGGUCAUGAGGGUGGAGCUCCCAUGAAUGGGAUUAGUGUCUUUAUGAAAGAGGCUCCAGAGAGCACUCUUGCCCCUCCUGCCAUGUGAGGACACAGUGAGAACACAUCUGUGAGCCAGGAGGGGGGGCUCUCACCAGACACUGAACCUGCCAGCACUUUGGUCUUGGACUGCCCAACCUCCAGAAUUGUGAGAAAUAAAUGUUUGUUAUUCAGGCCACCAGCCUAUGGGACUUUUGUUAUGGGAGCCUGGAAGGACUAAGACAGUGACACACCACUGAAGUGUUCUCCGUGACAGAAUCAGAUUUCUGUCUUGAAGUGAUCACUCUGGCUGCUGAGUGGAAGGCAAAAGCAGAACUACUGGAGCCCCUGUCAAGGAGAACGGUGUCUUGGACCUGCAAAAUAGCUAUGAAGAUUGUACUGGAGUCUAUUAGAACACCUUUCAGCUGGUGUAGUGGAAAGAGCAUAGACUCUGCUCUCAGGGAUGGUUAGGUUCUGCUCCUGGAGCCACUCCUUUGUCGCUGUGACCUUGGGCAAGUUACUUAGCAUCUCUGAGUCUCAUCUAUAAAUACAAAUUGAGGUUCUCUGUAGGGUAGGAGCUAUAUGGUUAAUUUUAAGGUGGCUUUCAGACUUGAAUUGCAACAUCAGCUCUUCCCUGGGUCGGCAGCCUGCCGUCUUACCCCCCAGAGACUUUGGACUUGCCAGCCUCCAUAAUAAAUCUUUCCUUAAGAUGAAUGUGCCAAUCCUUUAAGAUAAAUCCCCCCUCUGAACUGUCUAUCUACACACCAUAUUAGUUUUGUUUCUCUGAAGAACUCUGACUAAUAAAGGGUAAACUUUCUAUCAAUUUAUAAUAUACAUAAUAGUGAGUGCACAAUUAUGAAGGGCACAGAUCGCUGAUUUUGUACAGAGUGAACACAUUCAACCACCAUCCACAAGAAGAUAUAGAACAUUGGAAUUCCAUGAAGGUAGCUGUGUCAAAGGCAUAGUGUUUCACUCUAAAUCCCUACGUAAAAACAGAUAUAAGAAUCAGCAAAACUACAAUCCCAUGGAUAACAUUUACAACAAAAUUAGAUGGCAAGAUAUCCCCCAUGAAACCCAAAAUAUAAGUGGGUGAGGACAAGGCACCAAGACCCAGAAUUGGCACGUGUGCAGAAGCAAGCAGAGGAAGCAGUGAGCUUUUGAUGAACCUAAGAAUAGGAGGGACAUAAAGAUAACUGAUAGGUGCUGGUGGGUCAAUUUAUAGCAGAAACUGGAAGGGGUUUUACCUAAUCCCUGAGUGGUGCAGCAGCAGCAAGCAGUCUCCAGGAAGGUUUGAUGUAAAUGAGUACUCUAGCCCUAGUGAACUCUCAAGAUGGGCCGGCCAUCAGGGCUCUUUGCCAGGACAGGAGCCCACGCUAAGAAGAAAGUACUUGGAGAAGAAUCAAAACUGGGCAGGAUAGGUACAACAAAGAUAAAGACAAGACAAGGCUCAGACAAGAAUGGGGAGGGGAGCAGAGCCAAGAAACCUUAGAAAGCAUGCUGCCACAUUUUUUAUCACUACAUAAGAAUAGCAGAAAAGGGAACUCUGAACUUAGGAGAUGCACUCUGACCGGAGUCGGAUACAGCUGAGCUCGCACACACACACACAUACACACACACACUGAGCACAUCCUAGUAUAGGCCUUAUGGUGAAUAUAUAUAUAUAUAUUAUAUAUUUCUGUAGGUUGUAAACCUAGGAGUUAAAAUUCUGGGUCACAGGAUAUACAUACGUUCAGCUUUAGUAGGUACUGUAACGUGUUUUCCACAGUGCUUCUAUCAAUUUGGGGGCUUCCCUGGUGGUUCAGUGAUAACCAAUUCACCUGCUAAGCAGGAGACAUGGAUUCAAUCCCUGGGUCGGGAAUAUCCC